This 799-nucleotide long non-coding RNA is filed under the name Lynx pardinus (Iberian lynx). The record is from RNAcentral. Lineage: Eukaryota; Metazoa; Chordata; Mammalia; Carnivora; Felidae.
GGAGGAGGCGCGCAGCCCCGGCGGCCAGGCUGGGCGGCCGGCACAAAGGAAGCGGACUCGCGGCGGCGGCGGCCCGCGGCCCUGCUGCACCGAAGUCCCGCACCGGCAGCCAGGAAUAAAGUUUACAUUCUCCGGAGACCGCACCCCCCACCUCCCACCCAGGACCGCGUCCUCCUCCCCCAAACUCCGCUCGGGACCCCGAGCACCGCCCCAGCCUUCCAGCCAGCACAACAAAGAGACACACCGACCGGCGAGGGUAAACAGCCGCUGAGGGCGAGCAGGGCGGGCAGGGCGAGCGCCGCGAGACCAGCAACUCCGGAGUCCCCGCUCGCAGGAGCGUAGUUUCUCCUGUUCUGCUGCAGCCGGCUCGGUAACAUUUGCAAUUUUCGACUUCACCCGCACCCCUCACACCCGAACAUUUUGAACUCACCUUUACUUUCGAACUGAGAGUUGCGGUGGGUGGGAUUUUUGUCUUCCCCAGAUGGUUGAAGGUUACGAUUUUUGUUUUUGGAAACCCUACCACCUCCUUAUCUCGAUUAUUAUUUUUGCAAGAAAAGUAUAAAGAGAGUUGGAGUGGAGGUGAGAUUUGUGAUCGGGAAAGCCCUUGACUCCCUCCUUCUCCGCCUUCCGCCUCUCUCUGAUUAGUUCCUAUCCAGCAGCAGAUUGAAGCAGGAGAUGAUUCUUCUCAAGGUUUGUUCAGCAGCUUCACUUCUAGGCGAAGGCUUCAUGAACCAAGUGACGUCAACCAACAAGGCUUCUCUCUCUCUCCUCUCUCUAACAAUGAAAGUUGCUGUUAACA